Molecule: non-coding RNA, 91 nt
Organism: Paramuricea clavata
Lineage: Eukaryota; Metazoa; Cnidaria; Anthozoa; Malacalcyonacea; Plexauridae
Source: the annotation of a GenBank genome assembly
CUUCAAUAAAACUGAAAAGGUGACAAUGAUUUAUCUCUGUCUCAACACACAGAGAUAAAUAUUUGUCACCUUUUCAGUUUUAUAGAAGCUU